CAGCAGGGAAGAAAAUGACGGUACCUGACUAAGAAGCCCCGGCUAACUACGUGCCAGCAGCCGCGGUAAUACGUAGGGGGCAAGCGUUAUCCGGAUUUAUUGGGUUUAAAGGGUGCGUAGGUGGUUAAUUAAGUCAGCGGUGAAAGUUUGUGGCUCAACCAUAAAAUUGCCGUUGAAACUGGUUGACUUGAGUAUAUUUGAGGUAGGCGGAAUGCGUGGUGUAGCGGUGAAAUGCAUAGAUAUCACGCAGAACUCCGAUUGCGAAGGCAGCUUACUAAACUAUAACUGACACUGAAGCACGAAAGCGUGGGGAUCAAACAGGAUUAGAUACCCUGGUAGUCC
RNAcentral lists this ribosomal RNA (342 nucleotides) under Klebsiella pneumoniae. RNAcentral describes it as "bacterial SSU rRNA". It matches the Rfam family "Bacterial small subunit ribosomal RNA", at positions 437 to 796 of the family's 1533-position model. The record is from RNAcentral. Lineage: Bacteria; Pseudomonadati; Pseudomonadota; Gammaproteobacteria; Enterobacterales; Enterobacteriaceae.